GACGAACGCUGGCGGCGUGCUUAACACAUGCGAGUCGAACGGAAAGGCCUGCUUUCCCUUGUGGAUUGCGGGUACUCGAGUGGCGAACGGGUGAGUAACACGUGAGUGAUCUGCCCCCAACUUGGGUAUAAGCCUGGGAAACUGGGUCUAAUUCCCGAUAGGACUGCAGGGUGGUGCCUGUGGUGGAAAACGAUUUUCCAGUGGUUGGGGAUGAGCUCGCGGCCUAUCAGCUUGUUGGUGGGGUAAUGGCCUACCAAGGCGGCGACGGGUAGCCGGCCUGAGAGGGUGGACGGCCACAUUGGGACUGAGAUACGGCCCAGACUCCUACGGGAGGCAGCAGUGGGGAAUAUUGCACAAUGGGCGGAAGCCUGAUGCAGCGACGCCGCGUGGGGGAUGACGGCCUUCGGGUUGUAAACUCCUUUCGACCGCGAGGAAGCCACCUGGUUGGAAGGGUGGUGACGGUAGUGGUAGAAGAAGCACCGGCUAACUACGUG
This 494-nucleotide ribosomal RNA is filed under the name uncultured bacterium. RNAcentral's name for it is "partial 16S ribosomal RNA". It matches the Rfam family "Bacterial small subunit ribosomal RNA", at positions 28 to 507 of the family's 1533-position model. The record is from RNAcentral.